RNAcentral lists this ribosomal RNA (406 nucleotides) under uncultured bacterium. RNAcentral's name for it is "partial 16S ribosomal RNA". It matches the Rfam family "Bacterial small subunit ribosomal RNA", at positions 28 to 526 of the family's 1533-position model. The record is from RNAcentral.
GAUGAACGCUAGCUACAGGCUUAACACAUGCAAGUCGAGGGACCGGCGCACGGGUGAGUAACACGUAUCCAACCUGCCCUUUACUCGGGGAUAGCCUUUCGAAAGAAAGAUUAAUACCCGAUAUAAAGGAUGGGGAUGCGUUCCAUUAGGUUGUUGGUGAGGUAACGGCUCACCAAGCCUUCGCUGGAGAGGGGUUCUGAGAGGAAGGGCCCCCAGAUUGGAACUGAGACACGGUCCACACGCCUACGGGAGGCAGCAGUGAUGAAUAUUGGGCAAUGGGCGCUAGCCUGAACCAGCCAAGUAGCGUGAAGGAUGAAUGCUUAUGGGUCGUAAACUUCCUUUAUAUAAGAAUAUGUAUUAUAUGAAUAAGCAUCGGCUAACUCCGUGCCAGCAGCCGCGGUAAUUC